GUGAAAGCCUAGUGGUCAGGGUUUUUGAAUCCCAGCCAAAAGGUUGUGGGUUCAAACCCCAAUGUCCGCA
Molecule: non-coding RNA, 70 nt
Organism: Merluccius polli (Benguela hake)
Lineage: Eukaryota; Metazoa; Chordata; Actinopteri; Gadiformes; Merlucciidae
Source: the annotation of a GenBank genome assembly